GACAGACAGUUACCAUGCCCUUUCGAAAGGAGUCAGGUUUUAAACCUAAUGGCUCUUUCAUGAUUAUAUGAUAGGUGGUGCAUGGCCGUUCUUAGUUCGUGGAGUGAUCUGUCUGCUUAAUUGCGUUUCAAAUUUUUAUUUGAGGACCAGGUUUUGGUUUGGGUAGUGGUCCUACGAUGACUGUGAACUGUCAUGUCUUCGGAUGUGCGACUAUCGGUCUAGGAUCGCAUCUCAGCCCCUGGGACUCUUUUGAACGCAACGGACGUGAUUGCAACCCCUUGUUGAGAUUAGAGGAGUCUCGAUAUUCAUUGGCCAAACUUACCGCUUCGAGCUUGCUCGUGCAGUUUUGUUAGCCGGUGGAUAAACUCGGGGGACUGCUGACUAUAACCAUUUCUCAAAACAGAGGAAGGUUGCGGCAAUAACAGGUCUGUGAUGCCCUCAGAU
Molecule: ribosomal RNA, 444 nt
Filed under: Globigerinoides ruber ruber
Lineage: Eukaryota; Foraminifera; Rotaliida; Globigerinidae
Description: SSU rRNA
Rfam family: Eukaryotic small subunit ribosomal RNA
Source: RNAcentral